GAGUUUGAUCUUGGCUCAGAUUGAACGCUGGCGGCAGGCCUAACACAUGCAAGUCGAGCGGAUGACGGGAGCUUGCUCCUUGAUUCGAGCGGCGGACGGGUGAGUAAUGCCUAGGAAUCUGGCCUGGUAGUGGGGGACAACGUUUCGAAAGGAACGCUAAUACCGCAUACGUCCUACGGGUAGAAGCAGGGGACCUUCGGGCCUUGCGCUAUCAGAUGAGCCUAGGUCGGAUUAGCUAGGUUGGUGGGGUAAUGGCUCACCAAGGCGACGAUCCGUAACUGGUCUGAGAGGAUGAUCAGUCACGACUGGAACUGAGGA
RNAcentral lists this ribosomal RNA (318 nucleotides) under bacterium enrichment culture clone ALO1_GLFRUDD03F1SOJ. Its description in RNAcentral is "bacterial SSU rRNA". It matches the Rfam family "Bacterial small subunit ribosomal RNA", at positions 9 to 325 of the family's 1533-position model. The record is from RNAcentral.